GAUGAACGCUAGCUACAGGCUUAACACAUGCAAGUCGAGGGGUAACGAGAGGAAAGCUUGCUUUCCUUGUCGACGACCGGCGCACGGGUGAGUAACGCGUAUCCAACCUGCCCCCAACUAGGGAAUAACCUUGCGAAAGUAAGACUAAUACCCUAUAAUUUCCUCAGAUGACAUCUGACGAGGAAUAAAGAUUUAUCGGUUGUGGAUGGGGAUGCGUCUGAUUAGCUUGUUGGCGGGGUAACGGCCCACCAAGGCAACGAUCAGUAGGGGUUCUGAGAGGAAGGUCCCCAACAUUGGAACUGAGACACGGUCCAAACUCCUACGGGAGGCAGCAGUGAGGAAUAUUGGUCAAUGGGCGGAAGCCUGAACCAGCCAAGUAGCGUGCAGGAUGACGGCCCUAUGGGUUGUAAACUGCUUUUAUACAGGAAUAAAGUUAGCCACGUGUGGUUAUUUGUAGGUACUGUAUGAAUAAGGACCGGCUAAUUCCGCGCCAGCCGCCGCCGUAA
Molecule: ribosomal RNA, 506 nt
Filed under: uncultured bacterium
Lineage: Bacteria
Description: partial 16S ribosomal RNA
Rfam family: Bacterial small subunit ribosomal RNA
Source: RNAcentral